GAAAGUGUGGCAUAGUGGUUUGAGCAUUGGAAUAUGACUCUGGAGACCAGGGUUUGAUUCCCCGCUCAGCCA
This 72-nucleotide transfer RNA is filed under the name Phrynosoma platyrhinos (Desert horned lizard). RNAcentral describes it as "tRNA-OTHER". Lineage: Eukaryota; Metazoa; Chordata; Lepidosauria; Squamata; Phrynosomatidae. The record is from RNAcentral.